Molecule: unclassified non-coding RNA, 212 nt
Filed under: Mycolicibacterium fortuitum
Lineage: Bacteria; Bacillati; Actinomycetota; Actinomycetes; Mycobacteriales; Mycobacteriaceae
Description: 16S-23S ribosomal RNA intergenic spacer
Source: RNAcentral
CUAAGGAGCACCGAUUCGAUUCCCCCGCCGUCCGCGAAGUCGUGGGCAGUAGUGCGGUUGGGAUAUUUCAGCCAGGCCCUGUAGUGGGUGUCUGGUGGGUGCAAAUGACAAACGUUGAGCCGGCGCGGGAAAGCGCUGGUGAUGGAACUGCCAGACACACUAUUGGGCUUUGAGACAACAGGCCCGUGCCCCUUUUUUGGGGGGUGGCAUCC